GACGAACGCUGGCGGCGUGCUUAACACAUGCAAGUCGAACGGAAAGGCCCUGCUUUUGUUGGGUGCUCGAGUGGCGAACGGGUGAGUAACACGUGAGUAACCUGCCCUUGACUUUGGGAUAACUUCAGGAAACUGGGGCUAAUACCGGAUAUGAGCUCCUGCUGCAUGGUGGUGGUUGGAAAGUUUCGGCGGUUGGGUAUGGACUCGCGGCUUAUCAGCUUGUUGGUGGGGUAGUGGCUUACCAAGGCUUUGACGGGUAGCCGGCCUGAGAGGGUGACCGGCCACAUUGGGACUGAGAUACGGCCCAGACUCCUACGGGAGGCAGCAGUGGGGAAUAUUGCACAAUGGGCGGAAGCCUGAUGCAGCAACGCCGCGUGCGGGAUGACGGCCUUCGGGUUGUAAACCGCUUUCGCCUGUGACGAAGCGUGAGUGACGGUAAUGGGUAAAGAAGCACCGGCUAACUACGUG
This 468-nucleotide ribosomal RNA is filed under the name uncultured bacterium. RNAcentral's name for it is "partial 16S ribosomal RNA". It matches the Rfam family "Bacterial small subunit ribosomal RNA", at positions 28 to 507 of the family's 1533-position model. The record is from RNAcentral.